GGUUAAGCGACUAAGCGUACACGGUGGAUGCCCUGGCAGUCAGAGGCGAUGAAGGACGUGCUAAUCUGCGAUAAGCGUCGGUAAGGUGAUAUGAACCGUUAUAACCGGCGAUUUCCGAAUGGGGAAACCCAGUGUGUUUCGACACACUAUCAUUAACUGAAUCCAUAGGUUAAUGAGGCGAACCGGGGGAACUGAAACAUCUAAGUACCCCGAGGAAAAGAAAUCAACCGAGAUUCCCCCAGUAGCGGCGAGCGAACGGGGAGCAGCCCAGAGCCUGAAUCAGUGUGUGUGUUAGUGGAAGCGUCUGGAAAGGCGCGCGAUACAGGGUGACAGCCCCGUACACAAAAAUGCACAUAUUGUGAGCUCGAUGAGUAGGGCGGGACACGUGGUAUCCUGUCUGAAUAUGGGGGGACCAUCCUCCAAGGCUAAAUACUCCUGACUGACCGAUAGUGAACCAGUACCGUGAGGGAAAGGCGAAAAGAACCCCGGCGAGGGGAGUGAAAAAGAACCUGAAACCGUGUACGUACAAGCAGUGGGAGCACGCUUAGGCGUGUGACUGCGUACCUUUUGUAUAAUGGGUCAGCGACUUAUAUUCUGUAGCAAGGUUAACCGAAUAGGGGAGCCGAAGGGAAACCGAGUCUUAACUGGGCGUUAAGUUGCAGGGUAUAGACCCGAAACCCGGUGAUCUAGCCAUGGGCAGGUUGAAGGUUGGGUAACACUAACUGGAGGACCGAACCGACUAAUGUUGAAAAAUUAGCGGAUGACUUGUGGCUGGGGGUGAAAGGCCAAUCAAACCGGGAGAUAGCUGGUUCUCCCCGAAAGCUAUUUAGGUAGCGCCUCGUGAAUUCAUCUCCGGGGGUAGAGCACUGUUUCGGCAAGGGGGUCAUCCCGACUUACCAACCCGAUGCAAACUGCGAAUACCGGAGAAUGUUAUCACGGGAGACACACGGCGGGUGCUAACGUCCGUCGUGAAGAGGGAAACAACCCAGACCGCCAGCUAAGGUCCCAAAGUCAUGGUUAAGUGGGAAACGAUGUGGGAAGGCCCAGACAGCCAGGAUGUUGGCUUAGAAGCAGCCAUCAUUUAAAGAAAGCGUAAUAGCUCACUGGUCGAGUCGGCCUGCGCGGAAGAUGUAACGGGGCUAAACCAUGCACCGAAGCUGCGGCAGCGACGCUUAUGCGUUGUUGGGUAGGGGAGCGUUCUGUAAGCCUGUGAAGGUGUGCUGUGAGGCAUGCUGGAGGUAUCAGAAGUGCGAAUGCUGACAUAAGUAACGAUAAAGCGGGUGAAAAGCCCGCUCGCCGGAAGACCAAGGGUUCCUGUCCAACGUUAAUCGGGGCAGGGUGAGUCGACCCCUAAGGCGAGGCCGAAAGGCGUAGUCGAUGGGAAACAGGUUAAUAUUCCUGUACUUGGUGUUACUGCGAAGGGGGGACGGAGAAGGCUAUGUUGGCCGGGCGACGGUUGUCCCGGUUUAAGCGUGUAGGCUGGUUUUCCAGGCAAAUCCGGAAAAUCAAGGCUGAGGCGUGAUGACGAGGCACUACGGUGCUGAAGCAACAAAUGCCCUGCUUCCAGGAAAAGCCUCUAAGCAUCAGGUAACAUCAAAUCGUACCCCAAACCGACACAGGUGGUCAGGUAGAGAAUACCAAGGCGCUUGAGAGAACUCGGGUGAAGGAACUAGGCAAAAUGGUGCCGUAACUUCGGGAGAAGGCACGCUGAUAUGUAGGUGAAGUCCCUUGCGGAUGGAGCUGAAAUCAGUCGAAGAUACCAGCUGGCUGCAACUGUUUAUUAAAAACACAGCACUGUGCAAACACGAAAGUGGACGUAUACGGUGUGACGCCUGCCCGGUGCCGGAAGGUUAAUUGAUGGGGUCAGCGCAAGCGAAGCUCUUGAUCGAAGCCCCGGUAAACGGCGGCCGUAACUAUAACGGUCCUAAGGUAGCGAAAUUCCUUGUCGGGUAAGUUCCGACCUGCACGAAUGGCGUAAUGAUGGCCAGGCUGUCUCCACCCGAGACUCAGUGAAAUUGAACUCGCUGUGAAGAUGCAGUGUACCCGCGGCAAGACGGAAAGACCCCGUGAACCUUUACUAUAGCUUGACACUGAACAUUGAGCCUUGAUGUGUAGGAUAGGUGGGAGGCUUUGAAGUGUGGACGCCAGUCUGCAUGGAGCCGACCUUGAAAUACCACCCUUUAAUGUUUGAUGUUCUAACGUUGACCCCUAAUCGGGGUUGCGGACAGUGUCUGGUGGGUAGUUUGACUGGGGCGGUCUCCUCCUAAAGAGUAACGGAGGAGCACGAAGGUUGGCUAAUCCUGGUCGGACAUCAGGAGGUUAGUGCAAUGGCAUAAGCCAGCUUGACUGCGAGCGUGACGGCGCGAGCAGGUGCGAAAGCAGGUCAUAGUGAUCCGGUGGUUCUGAAUGGAAGGGCCAUCGCUCAACGGAUAAAAGGUACUCCGGGGAUAACAGGCUGAUACCGCCCAAGAGUUCAUAUCGACGGCGGUGUUUGGCACCUCGAUGUCGGCUCAUCACAUCCUGGGGCUGAAGUAGGUCCCAAGGGUAUGGCUGUUCGCCAUUUAAAGUGGUACGCGAGCUGGGUUUAGAACGUCGUGAGACAGUUCGGUCCCUAUCUGCCGUGGGCGCUGGAGAACUGAGGGGGGCUGCUCCUAGUACGAGAGGACCGGAGUGGACGCAUCACUGGUGUUCGGGUUGUCAUGCCAAUGGCACUGCCCGGUAGCUAAAUGCGGAAGAGAUAAGUGCUGAAAGCAUCUAAGCACGAAACUUGCCCCGAGAUGAGUUCUACCUGACCCUUUAAGGGUCCUGACGGAACGUUGAAGACGACGACGUUGAUAGGCCGGGUGUGUAAGCGCAGCGAUGCGAUGAGCUACCCGGUACUACUGAACCGUAAGGCUUAACCUU
This 2904-nucleotide ribosomal RNA is filed under the name Escherichia coli. RNAcentral's name for it is "23S ribosomal RNA". It matches the Rfam family "Bacterial large subunit ribosomal RNA". Lineage: Bacteria; Pseudomonadati; Pseudomonadota; Gammaproteobacteria; Enterobacterales; Enterobacteriaceae. The record is from RNAcentral.